RNAcentral lists this ribosomal RNA (279 nucleotides) under uncultured bacterium. Its description in RNAcentral is "partial 16S ribosomal RNA". It matches the Rfam family "Bacterial small subunit ribosomal RNA", at positions 506 to 784 of the family's 1533-position model. The record is from RNAcentral.
UGCCAGCAUCCGCUGUACUCCUGAUUUUGCAAUCGUUAAUCGGAAUUACUGGGCGUAAAGCGCGCGUAGGCGGUUUGUUAAGUGAGAUGUGAAAGCCCAGGGCUCAACCUUGGAACUGCAUCUCAUACUGGCAGGCUAGAGUACGGUAGAGGGGGGUAGAAUUCCAUGUGUAGCGGUGAAAUGCGUAGAGAUGUGGAGGAAUACCAGUGGCGAAGGCGGCCCCCUGGAUCGAUACUGACGCUAAGGUGCGAAAGCGUGGGGAGCAAACAGGAUUAGAUA